Molecule: ribosomal RNA, 429 nt
Filed under: Chloroflexota bacterium
Lineage: Bacteria; Bacillati; Chloroflexota
Description: Chloroflexi bacterium partial 16S ribosomal RNA
Rfam family: Bacterial small subunit ribosomal RNA
Source: RNAcentral
UGGGGAAUAUUGCACAAUGGGCGCAAGCCUGAUGCAGCCAUGCCGCGUGUAUGAAGAAGGCCUUCGGGUUGUAAAGUACUUUCAGUCGGGAGGAAGGUGGUAAGGUUAAUAACCUUGGCAAUUGACGUUACCGACAGAAGAAGCACCGGCUAACUCCGUGCCAGCAGCCGCGGUAAUACGGAGAGUGCAAGCGUUAAUCGGAAUUACUGGGCGUAAAGCGCACGCAGGCGGUUGAUUGAGUCAGAUGUGAAAUCCCCGGGCUUAACCCGGGAAUUGCAUCUGAUACUGGUCAGCUAGAGUCUUGUAGAGGGGGGUAGAAUUCCAUGUGUAGCGGUGAAAUGCGUAGAGAUGUGGAGGAAUACCGGUGGCGAAGGCGGCCCCCUGGACAAAGACUGACGCUCAGGUGCGAAAGCGUGGGGAGCAAACAGG